Molecule: ribosomal RNA, 253 nt
Filed under: uncultured bacterium
Lineage: Bacteria
Description: partial 16S ribosomal RNA
Rfam family: Bacterial small subunit ribosomal RNA
Source: RNAcentral
UACGAGGGGGGCAAGCGUUGUUCGGAUUUACUGGGCGUAAAGGGUGCGUAGGCGGUUCUGUGUGUCGGGUGUGAAAUCCCACGGAUUAUCCGUGGAACGGCAUUCGAAACUACAGGGCUAGAGUGCGGGAGAGGAAGGUAGAAUUCUCGGUGUAGCGGUGAAAUGCGUUGAUAUCGAGAGGAAUGCCGGUGGUGAAGACGACCUUCUGGAACGCAACUGACGCUGAGGCACGAAAGCUAGGGGAGCAAACAGG